RNAcentral lists this long non-coding RNA (1722 nucleotides) under Pongo abelii (Sumatran orangutan). RNAcentral's name for it is "lincRNA". The record is from RNAcentral. Lineage: Eukaryota; Metazoa; Chordata; Mammalia; Primates; Hominidae.
GGAGCUGCUAUCGGAGAGUCUUGCAUUCUGGGCCCAGCCACAUCCCUGUUCUUGGUAAAUAUGCAGAAACUGAGGCCCAGGACCACACACUGACACCAAGUGGACUAGGAUUCAGGCCAUUGACCAUAUUCUUUCAACUUCAGGAGCAACAGUACCUGGAGGACCCAAAUUUGCUGUCAUCCUCCAUGAGGCCUCAGCAGUCUCCAACAUGGAAGGGCACUGAUCCAGCCUGGGGGUUUCCAGGGACCUUUCUGACUGAACACUGGAAAGACCCUUUCAUUCCGUCCUGUCCCCCAGGUGGGACCCCACGCCCUGAGGUGGAACAGAGGUGAAGAGGAAGGGGAGCGGCUCCUGUGCAUUUUAAUAGAAAUGAAUUCAAGUUCUCUCCUGAAGGACUCAGUUCCUUGGGCCCAAACUUCUCCAGUCUCUCAUGAAAGGAGAUGAACUGCCUCAGAUAAAGUGCUAAUCUUCAGCCUCGAAGUCCUCGGAAGGGCCUUCUCCACACUGCUGGGCUGUGAAAGGCCGAAGGAGGUGGAGCUGGGGAGGAAGAUGAAGAUCCAGAGGUCUGAGAGAGCCUCAACUGAGUAGAGAGCAGCCUGGGUUCCAAAGUCCUGGCCGCAGCUCUGUGUAGCCAUGUGACUUUAGUUCAGGCCCUUGACUUCUCUAAGCUUCUGUGUGCACAGCUAUCAAAUGGGAGUAAUAACAGUAUUGACCUCGUGGGUGGUUAUGAGGCUUUACUGAGAUGGUACAAUGUCAAGGGCUUAGCACAUUGCCUGGCACGUAACACUCAGUAAAUGCCACCCUGACUAUGUUUAAUUUGGGAAGCUAGACCCUUACCUACCCAAGGGCUGUGAUGGUAGCAAGCCCACCUGCAGCCAUCCUCAGAGGGUAGGUGGAGAGUGAAGCCAAGCCUCAGAGCCACGGACUCCAGAAUGAAGGUAUGGACUCCGUGCCUGGACCUGUUACUUGAUUAGGGUUUCUGACCCCAGCUUCUUCCCCAUUUGCCCUGUCACACCAUCCCAUAAAUGUCCUGUUGCCCCCCUCUUGACCCUUCCUCCCACCCCCAUUCCAUUUAUCAUAGUCCACUUGUGGUGUCAGGGCAGACACACCCAAGGCACUGAACUCAUCUUGCCACUGUUGGUCACCCUCUGUGCCUUACAACAAUGUGGCACUUGGGGAUUCUAAACCACCACACUCACCAUUUCUCUCAAUCCCCAUGACCAUCUCCAUGCCUCCAAGACUCUCUGUGUCAGCCCAGAGGGGAAGCUGCCCGCAAGGUCUCUGUCUCCUUAGUGCAGAGCCGGGUCUACACCAGGUGCAGAACUCCCUGGUCAGCACAGCAGUGGGCCUGCCACCCAGACACACAGAGGCAGCUCAGCAACAGUCAGAGGCCCUCCGACGACAUUGGGAACAGAAGUGGCUGUAUGAGCUUCUAAAAAGCCCCAUCUGGAAGCUGGAGAAGCUGGGCCCAUUCCCUAACUCAGAGGAGGCCACAGUCCCUGGGGCAGGAACUAGCCCCUCCUAUUCUUUCCCUGCCCUCCAGAGUGGGGUUGCCUGGGACCAGGUCCUCAGAAACUGUGAUGGGAGGAGGGCGCCUUUACAACAGCAGGUGGAGCACCUGUGAGUCCCAAGUUCCCUUCCCCAAAGACCAAGAAAGAGUUUGGAGAACACUGGAGCCAGCCUUGCCUUCUCCUCUCCUGAAGGAAUGGAUGCAUGAAUGAA